This 63-nucleotide transfer RNA is filed under the name Nippononebria changbaiensis. RNAcentral describes it as "tRNA-Leu". Lineage: Eukaryota; Metazoa; Arthropoda; Insecta; Coleoptera; Carabidae. The record is from RNAcentral.
UUAUUUUGGCAGAUUAGUGCAAUGAAUUUAGAAUUCAUUAAUGUAAGAUAUUUACAAGUAAUA